Molecule: long non-coding RNA, 1131 nt
Filed under: Zonotrichia albicollis (white-throated sparrow)
Lineage: Eukaryota; Metazoa; Chordata; Aves; Passeriformes; Passerellidae
Description: lncRNA (ENSZALG00000017604.1)
Source: RNAcentral
GGAAGAGAUGGGAGAAACAGUGAGCCAGAGCAGGGACCUGCGUCAGCCACUGGGAGGGCAUCACCUCCCAGCUGCCUUCUCAGGAGCUCCUGGAGGUGCCUGCUUGACUGAGGAUCAAGUGAUCCAGAGGGACCAUGCAGAAGCAGCCCUGGCACAGUGUAAUUUCUAUAAUAUCCAUGUAAAGUGGCCUGAAGCUCCAGAACUGACCUUCUGUGACUCUGUCAACAAACAGUGAUCCUGCAGUCAUCAGGUAUCAGCUGGCUCACGUCACAGAGGCACCAACAUGAAGCAGUGUGCCCAGUGAGGAUGUCGGGAGGAAAUUCCAGCUGGCAUAAGACUGGAACCCUCUUCUCAUCUCCUCUUGAAGCAUGUAGAGUGCUGCUGUGUGCCAGACAUCCCUAUGGAGUGUUUUGUACCUGAGACUGCUUUGCAAGUAGGACAAACCAUGGUGGAGCUUGUGCAGCCAGAGUCGCUCACCAGGGAUGGGUGAGCAACCUGUGGAAUGUGGAGAGCAAAGGUGGUGAGUUAGAAUCUUCAUUUCCCCACUUCCCCAAAUUCUUUUUUCCUGGGAGCUGGGCUUCUCACCCAGGCUGGCACUGAGGUUUUAUUGGUGUGAGACUGGAAGCCAGCUCAGACUGCCACUGCAGAGACUGCUCUUCCCAAUUAGCUGAGAAGACAGGUCUCUAGCAGGACAAAGGGCUUCUCACCAGGAGAAAGAGCUCUCAAAUUGUCAAAGCAAAUCCUAUCUAAGCUGAGAACAAAGAGACUGCUGAGACUGCUGGAUGGGUUAUGAUUUUUAAUACUCCAAAGAGAUGCCUUUCUGAAAAGACUUUUAUUAAAAAAACCCAAACAACCACGAGUGUGAACAAAUCAUGAAGAUUCAGUCUUGGCCUGGAAAGAAAAGAGGUAGCAUGCAUGGCCCAGCAACUAUCCUAAAACCCCUGUGGCAAGCAAUAAUCUUGAAAAAGCCAGUGCAAGCUAUGUUUUCAAUUUAUAAAUUAAAUGUGUUUAAAAUUUAUGAACUUUGACUGCACAAGUAACUACUUCAUUAGACUUUAGGGCUGCAUGUUUCCUUGGCUUUUUUCACGGUAAAGUAAAACACAUUUCUAAUAAACAUGGAAAGAGAUUCCA